RNAcentral lists this small nuclear RNA (84 nucleotides) under Tupaia belangeri (northern tree shrew). Its description in RNAcentral is "U4 spliceosomal RNA (ENSTBEG00000019532.1)". It matches the Rfam family "U4 spliceosomal RNA", at positions 1 to 84 of the family's 138-position model. From Rfam's summary of the family: U4 small nuclear RNA (U4 snRNA) is a component of the major U2-dependent spliceosome. Lineage: Eukaryota; Metazoa; Chordata; Mammalia; Scandentia; Tupaiidae. The record is from RNAcentral.
AGCUUUGCGCAGUGGCAGUAUCGUAGCCAAUGAGGUUUAUCCAAGGUGCGAUUAUUGCUAAUUGAAAACUUUUCCCUAAUCCAA